RNAcentral lists this long non-coding RNA (314 nucleotides) under Elaeis guineensis (African oil palm). RNAcentral's name for it is "long non-coding RNA (EGUI_LNC039767)". Lineage: Eukaryota; Viridiplantae; Streptophyta; Magnoliopsida; Arecales; Arecaceae. The record is from RNAcentral.
UCCAAACUCUGAGAGCUUCUGGAUCUCCUCGCUCCCAUGCCCUGGGGCAAUCGCCUGCUGAUCAUGGAUGGGCAAACAUGGGAGUCGAGCCAGGCUGCUCGAUCCCAUCUCCGUCGUAUGCUGUGCUCCUCCUGACCUGAGACCUGCUUGGGACAUCAUCCUGUGGCAACAGGAAUCUUACCUUACGAUGUCGCCUCUCAUCCUCCCGAGUCUCCUGUCUCGUGCCCGAUCCGUCUCCUAGAGCUCCACCUCACUUUGGGCUCCACCUGGCUCCUGAAGCUCCACCUCGCACUAGGCUCCCUACCAGAGAAUAA